GAAAUGCGAUAAGUAAUGUGAAUUGCAGAAUUCAGUGAAUCAUCGAAUCUUUGAACGCACCUUGCGCUCCUUGGUAUUCCUUGGAGCAUGCCUGUUUGAGUAUCAUGAAAUCUUCAAAGUAAAUCUUUUGUUAACUCAAUUGGUUUCUACUUUGGUAUUGGAGGUCUUUGCAGCUUCACACCUGCUCCUCUUUGUUCAUUAGCUGGAUCUCAGUGUUAUGCUUGGUUCCACUCGGCGUGAUAAGUUAUCUAUCGCUGAGGACACUGUAAAAGGUGGCCAAGGUAAAUGCAGAUGAACCGCUUCUGAUAGUCCAUUGACUUGGACAAUACUUUUAUGAUCUGAUCUCAAAUCAGGUAGGACUACCCGCUGAACUUAAGC
RNAcentral lists this unclassified non-coding RNA (378 nucleotides) under plant metagenome. RNAcentral describes it as "partial contains 5.8S ribosomal RNA, internal transcribed spacer 2, and large subunit ribosomal RNA". The stretch from base 1 to 105 matches the Rfam family "5.8S ribosomal RNA", at positions 50 to 154 of the family's 154-position model. The record is from RNAcentral.